This 67-nucleotide transfer RNA is filed under the name Aristaeomorpha foliacea. Its description in RNAcentral is "tRNA-Thr". It matches the Rfam family "tRNA". Rfam says of the family: Transfer RNA (tRNA) molecules are approximately 80 nucleotides in length. Their secondary structure includes four short double-helical elements and three loops (D, anti-codon, and T loops). The record is from RNAcentral. Lineage: Eukaryota; Metazoa; Arthropoda; Malacostraca; Decapoda; Aristeidae.
GUUUUAAUAGUUUAAACAAAACGCUGGUCUUGUAAACCAGAAUUGAAGAUUUUUCCUUCUUAAAGCA